This 460-nucleotide long non-coding RNA is filed under the name Equus asinus (donkey). RNAcentral's name for it is "lncRNA (ENSEASG00005034684.1)". Lineage: Eukaryota; Metazoa; Chordata; Mammalia; Perissodactyla; Equidae. The record is from RNAcentral.
GUGAUUGAAUUAGCCUGUGGUGUGGCCUGGGCUUCAGAACUUUUUAAAAGCCCUCCAGUGAUUCUAAGGUGCAGGCAAGAUCGGUAAGCUCCAAGAAUAAAGCCCUUUGGGACCUCCACUUAACAUAUGGGCUUUACCUGGCAACCACAGAGGAGAACGUCUUGCAAAGGAGGUGAUCACAGCCAGAUGUGCUCAACACAAGCGUGUGGCGAAGCCAGACACCAUGUAAGAAGUUUGACUACUCUACUGGGGAAACUGUGGAGAGCGGCCCUGAGACUCCACACAGAGGGAGAGGGGCCAGCUGAGCCCAGCCUUGAGCUGUUCCUGACAAGACACCAGACAUGGGAGAGAAAAAGCCAUCUUGGAUCCAGCCACCCCCGGUGACACCACACAGAUCCGAGAACUGCCCAGUUGAGCCUUCUUAAAUCCCUGAACCACAAAGUUGUGAGCAAACUAAAAA